UACGUAGGGGGCAAGCGUUGUUCGGAUUUACUGGGCGUAAAGGGCGCGUAGGCGGCGCGUAAAGUCGGACAUGAAAUCAUUAGGCUCAACCUAAUGGCUGUGUCCGAUACUUACGUGCUUGGAGUGCGGGAGAGGUAGCUGGAAUUCUCGGUGUAGCGGUGAAAUGCGUAGAGAUCGAGAGGAACACCGGUGACGAAGGUGGGUUGCUGGACCGACACUGACGCUGAGGCGCGAAAGCUAGGGGAGCAAACGGG
RNAcentral lists this ribosomal RNA (254 nucleotides) under uncultured bacterium. RNAcentral describes it as "partial 16S ribosomal RNA". It matches the Rfam family "Bacterial small subunit ribosomal RNA", at positions 524 to 776 of the family's 1533-position model. The record is from RNAcentral.